Molecule: ribosomal RNA, 472 nt
Filed under: uncultured bacterium
Lineage: Bacteria
Description: partial 16S ribosomal RNA
Rfam family: Bacterial small subunit ribosomal RNA
Source: RNAcentral
AUUGAACGCUGGCGGCAUGCUUUACACAUGCAAGUCGAACGGUAACAGGCCUUCGGGUGCUGACGAGUGGCGCACGGGUGAGUAAUGCAUCGGAACGUACCCAGAGGUGGGGGAUAACGCAGCGAAAGCUGUGCUAAUACCGCAUGUGAUCUGAGGAUGAAAGCGGGGGACCGAGCAGCAAUGUUUGGCCUCGCGCCUUUGGAGCGGCCGAUGUCGGAUUAGCUAGUUGGUGGGGUAAAGGCCUACCAAGGCGACGAUCCGUAGCUGGUCUGAGAGGACGACCGGCGACAGUGGGACUGAGAUACGUCCCGGACUGCGACGGGAGGGAGGAGGGGGGAAUAGUGCACAACGGGCGGGAGCAUGAUGCAGAAGCGACGCGUGCGGGAUGAGGGCUUGCGGGGGGAAAAACGAAUUGGGCAGUGACUAAGAGUGAGGGACGGGAAGGGGUAAAGAAGAAACGGCUAACUAAGGG